GAUGAACGCUGGCGGCGUGCCUAAUACAUGCAAGUCGAGCGAACAGACGAGGAGCUUGCUCCUCUGACGUUAUCGGCGGACGGGUGAGUAACACGUGGAUAACCUACCUAUAAGACUGGGAUAACUUCGGGAAACCGGAGCUAAUACCGGAUAAUAUAUUGAACCGCAUGGUUCAAUAGUGAAAGACGGUUUUGCUGUCACUUAUAGAUGGAUCCGCGCCGCAUUAGCUAGUUGGUAAGGUAACGGCUUACCAAGGCAACGAUGCGUAGCCGACCUGAGAGGGUGAUCGGCCACACUGGAACUGAGACACGGUCCAGACUCCUACGGGAGGCAGCAGUAGGGAAUCUUCCGCAAUGGGCGAAAGCCUGACGGAGCAACGCCGCGUGAGUGAUGAAGGUCUUCGGAUCGUAAAACUCUGUUAUCAGGGAAGAACAAAUGUGUAAGUAACUAUGCACGUCUUGACGGUACCUAAUCAGAAAGCCACGGCUAACUACGUG
Molecule: ribosomal RNA, 497 nt
Filed under: uncultured bacterium
Lineage: Bacteria
Description: partial 16S ribosomal RNA
Rfam family: Bacterial small subunit ribosomal RNA
Source: RNAcentral